AUCAAGCUGACGAACCCAAAAUAGGACGAAACGCACGUCCUGGAU
Schistosoma mattheei is the source of this 45-nucleotide non-coding RNA. Lineage: Eukaryota; Metazoa; Platyhelminthes; Trematoda; Strigeidida; Schistosomatidae. The record is from Rfam.